This 309-nucleotide unclassified non-coding RNA is filed under the name Hevea brasiliensis (rubber tree). Lineage: Eukaryota; Viridiplantae; Streptophyta; Magnoliopsida; Malpighiales; Euphorbiaceae. The record is from RNAcentral.
GCUUAGGAAUUGCUUAAAGAAAGGUAUAAAAAAAGAAUUAUUAGGGUUUAAAUCAUGCUAUCUUGCUAACAGACCUUUAGUAAAUUAUUUAGCUACAAGAAUAAUGUCAUGAAAAGUAAAAAGACAGCUAAUUGCACGUCCAACAUUUCAUUUUCCAGGGAAAAAUCCAAGUUUAGCAAAUGCUCUCCACUAUGGAUUAGAGUGGGCAAUAAAGCCAAUAAGUUAUAACCAGGGGUGGUCGUGACUGACUCCAAUCUGAUUCACUUCAAUUAAUUUUAGUUUUGAUUCGUUUCGAUUUUAAUUUUGAUU